RNAcentral lists this ribosomal RNA (433 nucleotides) under uncultured bacterium. RNAcentral's name for it is "partial 16S ribosomal RNA". It matches the Rfam family "Bacterial small subunit ribosomal RNA", at positions 29 to 507 of the family's 1533-position model. The record is from RNAcentral.
AACGAACGCUGGCGGCAUGCCUAACACAUGCAAGUCGAACGAGACCUUCGGGUCUAGUGGCGCACGGGUGCGUAACGCGUGGGAACCUGCCCUUAGGUUCGGAAUAACUCCCCGAAAGGGGUGCUAAUACCGGAUAAUGUCUUCGGACCAAAGAUUUAUCGCCUUUGGAUGGGCCCGCGUUGGAUUAGCUAGUUGGUAGGGUAAAAGCCUACCAAGGCGACGAUCCAUAACUGGUCUGAGAGGAUGAUCAGCCACACUGGGACUGAGACACGGCCCAGACUCCUACGGGAGGCAGCAGUGGGGAAUAUUGGACAAUGGGCGAAAGCCUGAUCCAGCAAUGCCGCGUGAGUGAUGAAGGCCUUAGGGUUGUAAAGCUCUUUUACCCGGGAUGAUAAUGACAGUACCGGGAGAAUAAGCGCCGGCUAACUCCGUG